GACGAACGCUGGCGGCGUGCUUAACACAUGCAAGUCGAACGGAAAGGCCCUGCUUGCUGGGUACUCGAGUGGCGAACGGGUGAGUAACACGUGGGUGAUCUGCCCUUCACUUCGGGAUAAGCCUGGGAAACUGGGUCUAAUACCGGAUAGGAGCCAUUUUUAGUGUGAUGGUUGUAAAGUUUUUUCGGUGUCGGAUGAGCUCGCGGCCUAUCAGCUUGUUGGUGGGGUAAUGGCCUACCAAGGCGGCGACGGGUAGCCGGCCUGAGAGGGUGGACGGCCACAUUGGGACUGAGAUACGGCCCAGACUCCUACGGGAGGCAGCAGGGGGGAAUAUUGCACAAUGGGCGCAAGCCUGAUGCAGCGACGCCGCGUGGGGGAUGACGGCCUUCGGGUUGUAAACUCCUUUCGCUAGGGACGAAGCUUGUUGUGACGGUACCUAGAUAAGAAGCACCGGCUAACUACGUG
Molecule: ribosomal RNA, 465 nt
Filed under: uncultured bacterium
Lineage: Bacteria
Description: partial 16S ribosomal RNA
Rfam family: Bacterial small subunit ribosomal RNA
Source: RNAcentral